AUUUUAAUGAAAUGUAAGUUAAAUUUCAAUUAAAGAAAAAAACAAAAAGUACCAAUUUAAAAGUAAUGCAUGAUUUUUUCACUCAAAAGACGAAAAAAAGCUCAAGACAAUGACUUAACAUCAGAUCAUAUCAAAACCAUAUAUAUUUAAAGUCAUAUGAAACGAGUGACUGGUGAAAAUUAAUGUUAAUCCAAUUCUUGAAUCAAUCCCUGUAUAUAUCAUAAACUUAGUCUUCUGUACACGAUUUAAUCAUUUUUGACGCAAACACAUCGUAUAAUCGUCAUUUUCUUUAAUCUCUGUCUGUUAUUAUGCGAAACCCUGGCGAGUAGUUAAUUGUCGUGUUUUGAAGCCGUAGUUUACCGAUUGUCACCUUAAUCCUUAGUGUUCUAUGUUGUGGCAUG
This 401-nucleotide long non-coding RNA is filed under the name Mytilus galloprovincialis (Mediterranean mussel). The record is from RNAcentral. Lineage: Eukaryota; Metazoa; Mollusca; Bivalvia; Mytilida; Mytilidae.